AGUGGCGCACGGGUGAGUAACGCGUAGGUAAUCUACCCCUGUGUUCGGGACAACAUCGGGAAACUGGUGCUAAUACCGGAUACGUUUCACGGAUUGCGAAAUAAGUGAAGGAAAGGUGGCGCCCCUUCGGGGGGCUAUUGCACGGGGAUGAGCCUGCGUACCAUUAGCUAGUUGGCAGGGUAAGGGCCUACCAAGGCGACGAUGGUUAGCGGGUCUGAGAGGAUGAUCCGCCACACUGGAACUGGAACACGGUCCAGACUCCUACGGGAGGCAGCAGUGAGGAAUUUUGCACAAUGGGGGAAACCCUGAUGCAGCGACGCCGCGUGAGUGACGAAGGCCUUCGGGUCGUAAAGCUCUGUCAGCAGGGAAGAAAUGUGCGAUGGCUAAUAUCCAUUGUACUUGACGGUACCUGCAAAGGAAGCACCGGCUAACUCCGUGCCAGCAGCCGCGGUAAUACGGAGGGUGCGAGCGUUGUUCGGAUUUACUGGGCGUAAAGGGCGCGUAGGCGGCCUGUCAAGUCAUAUGUGAAAGCCCACGGCUCAACCGUGGAAGUGCAUGUGAAACUGGCAGGCUUGAGUACUGGAGGGGAGUGUGGAAUUCCCGGUGUAGAGGUGAAAUUCGUAGAUAU
Molecule: ribosomal RNA, 628 nt
Filed under: uncultured bacterium
Lineage: Bacteria
Description: bacterial SSU rRNA
Rfam family: Bacterial small subunit ribosomal RNA
Source: RNAcentral